GACCCCAUCGUCUAGAGGCCUAGGACAUCACCCUUUCACGGUGAGUACCGGGGUUCGAAUCCCCGUGGG
Molecule: transfer RNA, 69 nt
Filed under: Acidovorax defluvii
Lineage: Bacteria; Pseudomonadati; Pseudomonadota; Betaproteobacteria; Burkholderiales; Comamonadaceae
Description: tRNA-Glu
Rfam family: tRNA
About the family: Transfer RNA (tRNA) molecules are approximately 80 nucleotides in length.
Source: RNAcentral